RNAcentral lists this ribosomal RNA (518 nucleotides) under Rhinocladiella sp. YH-2009a. Its description in RNAcentral is "eukaryotic LSU rRNA". The stretch from base 201 to 353 matches the Rfam family "5.8S ribosomal RNA". The record is from RNAcentral. Lineage: Eukaryota; Fungi; Ascomycota; Eurotiomycetes; Chaetothyriales; Herpotrichiellaceae.
CGGAAGGAUCAUUACCGAGUUAGGGUCCUCUGGGCUCGACCUCCAACCCUUUGUCUACCUUACUAUACGUUGCUUCGGCGGGUCCGUCCUGAAAAGGACCGCCGGAGGGUGGUUUCACCCUCUGGCCCGUACCCGCCGGUGGCCUCCCAUUAAAACUCUUGUCAAAACGUGUCGUCUGAAGUACAAAAUAAAUAACUAAAAACUUUCAACAACGGAUCUCUUGGUUCUGGCAUCGAUGAAGAACGCAGCGAAAUGCGAUAAGUAAUGCGAAUUGCAGAAUCCGUGAGUCAUCGAAUCUUUGAACGCACAUUGCGCCCUUUGGUAUUCCGAAGGGCAUGCCUGUUCGAGCGUCAUUAUCACCCCUCAAGCCCCGGCUUGGUGUUGGGCCCGCGGUGGUCGUUCGCGACUACCCGCCCCAAAGAUAGUGACGGCGUCCCAGAGGGAACCGGUACGAGGAGCUUUCACGAGCAUGUACACGGGACGACUUUGCGGGCGACGGUCUUUUUUUACUUUAAUAA